This 632-nucleotide ribosomal RNA is filed under the name uncultured Sulfurimonas sp. RNAcentral's name for it is "bacterial SSU rRNA". It matches the Rfam family "Bacterial small subunit ribosomal RNA", at positions 8 to 655 of the family's 1533-position model. The record is from RNAcentral. Lineage: Bacteria; Pseudomonadati; Campylobacterota; Epsilonproteobacteria; Campylobacterales; Sulfurimonadaceae.
AGAGUUUGAUCAUGGCUCAGAAUGAACGCUGGCGGCGUGCUUAACACAUGCAAGUCGAACGGUAACAGAAGGAGCUUGCUCCUUGCUGACGAGUGGCGCACGGGUGAGUAAUAUAUAGAUAAUGUGCCUCGCAGACCGGGAUAGCCAUUGGAAACGAUGAUUAAUACUGGAUACUCCUUCUUAUCAUAAGAUAAGUCGGGAAACGGAUUCUGCUGCGAGAUCGGUCUAUAUCCCAUCAGUUAGUUGGUAAGGUAACGGCUUACCAAGGCAAUGACGGGUAGCGGGUUUGAGAGGAUGAUCCGCCACACUGGUACUGAGACACGGACCAGACUCCUACGGGAGGCAGCAGUGAGGAAUAUUGCACAAUGGGGGCAACCCUGAUGCAGCAACGCCGCGUGGAGGAUGACGCAUUUCGGUGUGUAAACUCCUUUUAUAUGUCAAGAAAAUGACGGUAGCAUAUGAAUAAGCACCGGCUAACUCCGUGCCAGCAGCCGCGGUAAUACGGAGGGUGCAAGCGUUAUUCGGAAUCACUGGGCGUAAAGGACGCGUAGGCGGGUUGGUAAGUCAGAUGUGAAAUCCUACAGCUUAACUGUAGAACUGCAUUUGAAACUACUAACCUAGAGUAUGGGAGG